UAUUUUCUGAAACAAUGUUGCUUCCUACGGACAAAAACCAAAAUCCAAUAUAUUGCAGAAUGAACAACAACUGACAUGAUACUCGAACUACCAAACCAGAACUUGAACGAGAUACCAGCUGACCAGCAAGCUCGAAACCAAAGCGAUCUCCAUCAAACAUCAGUUAGAUUCCAUGGUUUCUGACAUCAAAAAUCAUAAGAAGGAACCAAACUUUAAACAAUAACAACUGAUGAAGUGAAGUCGCCGCCCAAAGCUAUGGAUGAAGCGAUGAGAGCGAGGGUGUACAACUGUUCUCGGCAAGUUUGGGUUGUCGCUGGGUGGUUGGAGAAGGGAUAGUAGCUCUAUGGAUUUAAAAUCGUUGGGUUACUUUUCAACUCCAAUUAUUGCCUCAUCUCUCUUUUUACGGCGGCUAGAUUUUCAAGUUUAUUUUUGUAAUCACUCUAUGAUAUCCUUUUUUUUCUCUACUGAGCCGAGGGUCGAUUGGAAACAGCCUCUCUGUCCGUUCGGGCAGGGGUAAGGCUCGUCUACAUAUUACCCUCCGCUAACCCCACCUGACGGGACUAUACUGGGUAGUUGUUGUUGUUGUUGUCUAUGAUCUCCUUUUUGUUGCUCCAAGUCGGGGGUAGGCGUUUUGUUGAAGAAGAAGAAGAGCGGUGGUUUUUUUACGCGUGAGUCUGUAGCAGGCGUCCUCUCUAGUGAGAAGCUGCGCAGCUGAAGCUUUUCAACGUUUUCCCCCUUUGCUUUGUAUUUUUAUUUUUGUCUUAUAUAGUUUAGGUUUUGUUUGUUUGUUUUUUAAUUAGGGUAAGGGCAAUGGAAUGGGCUUGGGUUAUAUGGACUUGGGUAGAAAGACUAUGGUUUGAGCUUGUUUUGGUUUUAAAAUGCCCAAUUGCUUAAAUUAAAAUCCUAUUUGCAAUUUAAUCCUAAUUAUUUUUUCUUUUCUAUUUAUUUAUUUUUUUAAACAAUCAUAGAAAUUAAAAUUUUAAUUAAUAUUUUCCUUUAGAAGCUAAAAUUCUUUAUGUAUAUAUAUAUAUAUAUAUAUAUAUAUAUAUUUUAAGCUUAACUGUCGAUUUGUAUUGAUAUCAAAAAAUAUACAAUGUAAUCCUAAGGUAGUAGUAUGGACUUCUACUACUCAUUUACACUUUCAUUCUAGUUACACUUGAAUNNNNNNNNNNNNNNNNNNNNNNNNNNNNNNNNNNNNNNNNNNNNNNNNNNNNNNNNNNNNNNNNNNNNNNNNNNNNNNNNNNNNNNNNNNNNNNNNNNNNNNNNNNNNNNNNNNNNNNNNNNNNNNNNNNNNNNNNNNNNNNNNNNNNNNNNNNNNNNNNNNNNNNNNNNNNNNNNNNNNNNNNNNNNNNNNNNNNNNNNNNNNNNNNNNNNNNNNNNNNNNNNNNNNNNNNNNNNNNNNNNNNNNNNNNNNNNNNNNNNNNNNNNNNNNNNNNNNNNNNNNNNNNNNNNNNNNNNNNNNNNNNNNNNNNNNNNNNNNNNNNNNNNNNNNNNNNNNNNNNNNNNNNNNNNNNNNNNNNNNNNNNNNNNNNNNNNNNNNNNNNNNNNNNNNNNNNNNNNNNNNNNNNNNNNNNNNNNNNNNNNNNNNNNNNNNNNNNNNNNNNNNNNNNNNNNNNNNNNNNNNNNNNNNNNNNNNNNNNNNNNNNNNNNNNNNNNNNNNNNNNNNNNNNNNNNNNNNNNNNNNNNNNNNNNNNNNNNNNNNNNNNNNNNNNNNNNNNNNNNNNNNNNNNNNNNNNNNNNNNNNNNNNNNNNNNNNNNNNNNNNNNNNNNNNNNNNNNNNNNNNNNNNNNNNNNNNNNNNNNNNNNNNNNNNNNNNNNNNNNNNNNNNNNNNNNNNNNNNNNNNACAGUGAAUCGAUGUCUAGGUAGAGCAGAUGACACAAGCAUUACAUUCCUCCAUACAAUCUUAGGAAAUAUAGGCAACAGUGCAAUAUAGAGUUUUUAACAACUACAUAACUUCAAACUAAAGAAAAAUGCUAAUUUUAAAGACUAAAAGACAAAUACGUAAAAAUGACCAUUUUAAGGUUUUUUUUUUUAUGAUUUAAAAAUAUUAAAAACACAUGCAAUGCAAAUAAACAAAGAAAAAUUCCUAAAAUUAAUAAAAAUUAAUUUUUGGUCUAUUUUUUAGGAGUUAUUCUUAUGUAGGGCAAAAAUCAUGUGCUCACAGCAGCCCCUCUUUGCUCGGAAACACGAAUAGUUUUCGUGCAAAGAUAAAGUGAGCAUAUACGAGCAAUUGUUUGCCCGUUUGAAACUUCAUGAGAAGUAUUUUUAAAAGAUUUGACCGCACUCUGCUUCUGAGGUUGCCUACAUAUCCUUGGUUAUAAAGGAAUCAGGUCAGUGUAGUUUGGGAAGUGAGGUGAUGGAGUACUGAGGUUGAGAUCGGUCGAGGUGCCAUCGAGGUUCCGGUCCGCGGUCCCGUUUAUUGCAUCAAAAUCUAAAUUAAAAAGACUAACUAAGCCUAUAAGCUACGAGUUACAAGAUUCCUAUCUAUAAAUCUUUUGAAACUUGAUCUUGAGUCUUGGCUAGGUCUUGUUGCAGACUCUAAUCUAAAUCUUAAUGCUUGUCAGCUGCAUAUGCUGGUUCUUUCUUCAGCAUUUGGAUCAAAGAGGGACAUGCGAAACUUUUGACUUUGAAUCAAAUUUGAGCAGUCUGCAUUUUCUUCUUCGAACAUCCUGAGUUCGGUUCUUUUUGCUCUUUUGUUAUUUUCCUUUAUUCUGUAUUGAGACUCACGCUUCUGGUCAUCUCGAACCCUGUGCCAUGAGGUAAAACCUGCUCAGACACCAAAAAUAAACAAACGAACGAAAUUUUAUGCCCCAAUUUUUACUAGGAAAAUUUCGUGAGUUAUUUGUAACACAAAUCUAAGCUAUUUCUUUAUUGAAAAAAAUAAAAAUCGGGAUUCUAUAUCCUUUGGAAAGAUUGCCAGGUUAUGUUGGGAAGGAGAAAAGGUCCCUGCUGGGGGUAAGAGGAGCAUCCAUGGGUUAUGCCGGGAUGGGAAUGAAGGGUCCCUACUGGGGAUGAAAGGAAAAAGACACGGGUUAUGUCGGGAUGAAAUGAAAAAAGAUUCCUAGGUUCUGCUAGGGAGAUCCGCGGGUUAUGCCGGGAUGAAUGAAAAAAGUUUCUGGGUUAUGCCAGGGGUCCAUGGGUUAUGCCGGGAGAAGAAGGCUCCUCGGUUAUGCUAAGGGGAUCUGCGAGUUAUGCCGGGAUAGGAAGAAAAAUGGUCUACUAAGGAUAAAAAAAAAAUGAUCCUUGGGUUAUGCCAAGGGGAAGAAAAUAAAAAUACACUCAGGUUAUGCUGGAGAUAAAUGGAAAAUAACCCUCAGGUUAUGCCGUACGGGAAAGAAAAGACCCUCAGGUUAUGCUGGGAGGAAAAGAAAAGACCCUCGGAUGCUAGGGAGAAAAAGGAAAGAUGAUCCUCGGGUUAUGCCGAGGAGGUCCACGGGUUAUACCGGGAUAAAAGGGAAAAGGUCCUAUGCUACCAUGAUUUUGGGUUUUUUUUGAAUUAUCCUAGGGGAAAAUUCGUCAGACUAGGUUUUCUAUCUUAGGAGAAAAAAUUCAUCAGACAAAGAUUUUGACCCUAGGAGAAAGUUCAUCAGACUAGGUCUUUCUUUCUUCUUUUGUUUUUGGUAUCUUAGGAGAAAGAUUUAUCAGACUAAGAUUCUGACCCUAGGAGAAAGUUCAUCAGACUAGGUCUUCUAUCUUAGGACAAAUAUUCAUCAGACUAAGAUUUUGGUCUUAGGAGAAAGUUCAUCAGACUAGGUCACUUUUUUUAUAUAUCUUAGGAGAAAGAUUUAUCAGACUAAAAUUUUGAUCCUAGGAGAAAGAUUCAUCAGACUAGGUCUUCUAUCUUAGGAGAAAAAUUCACUAGACUAAGAUUUUGAUCCUAGGAGAAAGCUCAUCAGACUAGGUCUUCUAUCUUAGGAGAAAAAUUCAUCUGACUAAGAUAUUGAUCCUAGGAGAAUGUUCAUCAGACGAGGUCACUCUUUUGGUAUCAUAGCAGAAAGAUUCAUCAGACUAAGAUUUUGAUCUUAGGAGAAAGUUCAUCAGACUAGGUCUUCUAUCUUAGGAGAAAAAUUCAUUAGACUAAAAUUUUGAUCCUAGGAGAAAGCUCAUCAGACUAGGUCUUCUAUCUUAGGAGAAAAAUUUAUCAGACUAAAAUUUUGAUCAUAGGAGAAUGUUCAUCAAACUAGGUCACUCUUUUGGUAUUUUGGGAGAAAGAUUCAUCAGACUAACAUUUUGAUCCUAGGAGAAAGUUCAUCAGACUAGGUCUUCUAUCUUAGGAUAAAAUUCAUCAGACUAAGAUUUUGAUCCUAGAAGAAAGUUCAUCAGGCUACGUCAUUUUCGGUAUCUUAGAGAAAGAUUCGUCAGACUAAGAUUUUGAAUGGGAGAAAAAUCCAUCAGACUAGGACUUUUUAUCCUAGGAGAAAAAAUAAUGUGAAGAUCAAUGGCAAGAUUUUAUGCCCAUGCAGACAAAUAUAUACCAAGAAUUGAGAAACUUACCUUUGUCGGCUCUACUCUUCUUGUUUUUUUCUUCUCUUUUUUGUUGUUUUUGUUCGUUUUGUUUUUUAUCUUUCUUUCUUCUUUGUUUGUGAACCACUUUCCUUGCGCUGCUUUGUUGCUGCUGCAAACAAAGAACACUUUGUCAGUUUUGAAAAUGGUGGUCGGUUUGUGGCCUUGAGUCUUGAGCAGCUUGGCUUUUGCUUGAUCAGCCUGAGUCGGUCUUAAAAGACCUUUGUUCUACACCAACUCUGAUUGUUUCGCACCCAGUACCAUUUUGUAUUUGAGGCUCAAUCAACCCUGUCGCGAUUGGAGAUCUUAGCUCAGGUGACCUUUUCUGAUAUCUUCAAAAACUUUCUGCUUUUUGAGCAAUUUGUCUGUUAGAGAGAAUCACAAGUUAUCUUUGCUUGCGCCAAGCAGGCUGACAAGAGUCUUUUUGGAAAGCCUUUUCAAAAAUCCUCAAGGUAUGUUGACAGUAACAACUGAGUGCGCUGGCAAAAUUUAAUUUGUGCAACUGAAAAGAUGGUAGCAGAUUUUGAAAUCAUUUCUUGCUCAUUUUGACAAGGGUGGACUUAAAGUGAAGGACACAAUUAUGAAAAGAAACGAAUAUUAAAAAGAAAUUCCCCCUGUCGUCUUUUGAGGAAGCCCUUGCAUGAACCCUCAAGGCAUGCUGACAAUAACAACUGAGUAGUUGGCCAAAUUUACUUUGUGCAACUGAAAACCUGGUAGCAUAUUUUGAAAUAUUUUCUUACUUGUUUUGAUGAGGACAGACUCAGAGUGAAGGACAUAAUGAUGCAAAGAAACGAAUAUUGACAAGAAAUGCCCCCUGUCGAAAGGACAAAAAGAAGCUUUUUUUUUAUUUUUUUCCUUCUUUUUUUUUUCCAUCAUUCUUUUCAAUAACUAGCCUUAAUGAUCAUGACAUACAUUUUGGACUUAACGGCCUGAUCUAUCCAACUAAUCCAAUCUUCCCGUUUACCAUUUUUAUGACCUUUGAAGUCGGGCUUGUUCGUGCCAAUCCUUGCAUCAGUUUCAUGACUUACUUUCGACUAGUGGUGCCCCGAGGAGUUUUCACCAACAAGACUUUCUCAUUUAUUUAUCUCUUCUUAUUGUUGCUUUACAGUGCCCAUGAGGGUUUUCACUAGUAAGACUCUCUUAUUUAUUUUUUUCUUUUUCCUGUGCUUUUUCUUUUUCUUUCCGCUUUUUUUUUUUGGAGAGCAACUUGAUAGUGUUCUAUGUCGCGUGACAUACGUUGCUCAUUGCCUGCGUUUCUUGGCAUUCUUGAAAGCUGAUCAUGAGGUAUUUAUUUGGAAGGUUUUUGGAUGUGGGUAGGAAGAAAGGGUCGGCAUGACGACUCAAAGUUGACUUAAAGUGAAGGGUUGUAGACUUACAACUUUUGGAAUCGUCUCAUCAAAAGUGAAAUAAAUUUUUUUUGCCCCACUUUUAACCAUUGGUGUUUUUGGAACAUUUCUCUCUUUUUUUUUUGUGAAUUCUUAUUUGGUUGGAUCGAAUUGUGAGGCUGCCUACGUAUCCUUUUUUUAAAGGAAUCAGGACUAACGUAGUUCAAACAUCCAACUUAAAGUAUAUUUCAUCUUUCUUUCCGCUUCUCUUUUCAUUUUUCUUUUUCUUUUUUUUUCUUUUUCUUUUUUGAUUUUUUAUUUUUAUUUUUAUUUUUAUUUUUUGCUUGCCCCAGCUUCUUUGUUUUGAGGGCAUGGACCUUUGAUAAUUCUUUCUUUUUGUUUUUCGCUUGGAACCUUCUAAAAGCUGCCCCAGUUUAUACUCUUGGGACAUGGACUUUCUUUCUUUUUUUUUCGUUUCUUUUCAUCUUUUUUUGACUCUUGACUCUAAACGUGAUUCCAAACGAGGGUGAUCAAAGAAAAUAAUACCGGAUUAAAAGGGGUUGCAAAGGAUAUGAAGUGUUUGGAUAACAGAAAAAGGGCCUCCUAGCCUCGACACUGCCAAUCAUAUUAUCUUUCACGACCGCAGCAUUGGUGAACAUGUUUAAUGUCUUGGUGUGUUGUGGCCGAAAGACACUUUUCAUCCCUUAAUGUCAAACUUUCCAAUAAACAUCAAUUGAUUAAAUAUUCUCAAGCCCGAUCUUCACAAUGAAUUGAAGGUGAAUUUUGCUCGACCUUAAUUCCCAAGUAUUUCAAGUCUUUAUUCAUCCUCAAAAGUGCUUCUUUUUUUUUCAGUUAUCCAAUUCCAGAUUAAAUGAGUUUCUAAGAUCUGGCCAAAAUUUCCGGAUGCAUUUCAUGUUAUUAAAACUAGCGCGAAAUAACUAAGAACGGAAUGCCACAAACUUCUCUUUUUUUCAGUUAUCCAAUUCCAAGUUAAAUCAGUUUCUAAGAUCUGGCCAAAAUUUCAGGAUGCAUGUCAUGUUAUUAGAACUAGCGCGGAAAGAACUAAGAACAAAAUGACACAAAAGGACAAACUGAAUUUUAUUGAAUAAGGAUGGAAUGGUAACGACUAAACAAGAAACCUAAGAUGAUCCGAGUUACAACCCUAAAAUAACCCGGAUAAUGAAAAUAGCAAUAAAAUAGACAGACAUGACUCAUACAAAUAAAAUAGAAGGAUAGAAGGGUCUGACUCAAUAAAGAAAAUAAAAUCUAGAUCAGAACCCUGAAAUAACCCAGAUAACAGAAAAACAUCAAAACAAGCUACCAAGAUUACCUCCUAAGACAUGAGGGAAUGACUUUUCAAUUGCUAAGCUUGACAUUGAGCCACAAAUUUGCUCAACGGAAUCACCAUGGCCUCCUCCAAUUUCAGACGGCAGGUUCUCGAGAGGAUUAUCAUACUCGAUGACACCAGACAUCAUCCUCACAAAGUAUGCAUCAUCAUGUGCAGGUAAAGGAUUCUGCAUGAUAUUCUGGGUGUCAUUGUCUUGAAUCACAAUCAGUUUUUCCUGGAUCAUCCUCUCUAUUUCUCUUUUCAAAUCCCGACAAAUUUCAACAUCGUGCCCCAGGGCAUCAGAAUGGUAUUCACACCUUUUAGAAGGGUCAAAGCUUCUUGCACGUGGGUCCACAUGAUUUUGAGAAAUGGGUGCAAUCAUGCCAUAAUGCUUUAGCUUCUCAAAUAAGCUUGCAUAAGACUCUCCUAUUGGUGUAAAAUUAUCCUUCAACCUUUGUUCCCUUCUAUGCCCCUGGGUUGGAUAGUGCAAUCAUGCCAUAAUGCUUUAACUUCUCAAAUAAGCUUGCAUAUGACUCUUCUAUUGGUGUAAAAUUAUAUUUCAACUUUUGUUCCCUUCUAUACCCCUGGCAUGGAUGUGGGUUAUAAGGCAUUUGAAAAUUUUGUGGAGGCUGGUGGAGAUAUUUUGAUCCUCGUGCUCGACUUCUUGGGUGAUUUGGUGCCUAGACAACAUACUGAGGUGGAUCAACAAGGUAUGGUGGGUUCUGAGGUGGAUAGUAAUGCUCAGGGGAGUCAUCGAAAACCUGAUGAGGCUACGCAUACCUUCGAGGUGUUCUCAUGGAACCUCUUCUCGACCCUGUUGUCAUCAUGAUUUCUUCAUCCGUCUCAUUUAUGUCACUUUUAUUCUUUUAUUCUUUUUUGACUUUUUUUCUUUUCUUUUUCUUUUUCAUUUUUUGACUCUUGACUCUAAACUUGAUUCCAAAAGAGGGUGGUCAAAGAAAAUAAUAUAUGUUCAAAGUGGUGACGAAUGGCAUAAAGUGUUUAGGUAGCAGAAAAAGGGCCUCCCAACCUUGAGAACGCCAAACAUAGUAUCUUUUUGCGAUCACAACAUUGAGGAACAUGUCUGUCAUCUUGGUGUGUUGCGGUCAAAAGACACUUUCCAUCCCUUAAUGUCAAACUUUCCAAUAGAUUUCAAUUGAUUAAACAUUCUCAAGCUCGAUCUUCAAAAUGAUUUGAAGGUGGAUUUUACUCGACCUUAAUUCUAAAGUAUUUUAACUCUUUAUUCAUCCUCAAAAGUGUUUUUUGUCUUUUCUUUUUCUGUUAUCCAAUUCCAGAUUAAAUAAGUUUCUACGAUCUUGCCAAAAUUUCCGCAUGCAUGUCAUGUCAUUAGAACUAGCAACAAAAGAACUAGGAAUAGAAUGACACGAAAGGAAAAACUGUAUUUUAUUGAAUAAAGAUGGAAGGUUUGACAAUUAAACAAGAAACCUAAAAUCCGAGUUACAAACCUAAAAUAAACCGAAUAAUAAAAAUAGCAACAAAACAGUCAAACAUGACUCCUACAAACAGAAUAGAAUGACAGAAGGGUUUGACUCAAUAAAAAAAAUAAAAUCUGGAUCACAACCCUGAAAUAACCUAGAUAGAAGAAAAAACAUCAAAACAAGCUAGCUUGAUUCCUUCCUGUAAAGAGAGAAUGACUUUUCAAUUUUUAAGCUUGACAUUUCACCACAAAUUUGCUCAUCAAAAUCACCAUGGCAUUCUCCCAUUUCAGCCGGCAAAUUCCCGAGAGGAUUCUCAUACUCCAUGUCACUACUCAUCACCCUUACAAAGUGUGCAUCAUCAUGUGCAGGUAAAGUACUCUGUGCGAUACUCUGGGUGUCACUGUUUUGGAUCAUAAUCAGGUUUUCUUGGAUCAUCCUUUCUAUUUCUCUUUUCAAAUCCCGAUAAUUUUCAAUAUUGUGCCCCUACGCAUUGGAAUGGUAUUCACACCUUUUGGAAAGGUCAAAGCUUCUUUCAAACAAGCUCGCAUAGGACUCUCCUAUUGGUGUAAAAUUAUCUUUCAACUUUUGUUCCCCUUUAUACCUCUGGCUUGGAUGUGGGUAAUAGGGCAAUUGAAGAUUUUGUGGAGGAUGGAGGAGAUUUUGUUGUACUCGCGCUCGCCUUCUGGGAUGUUAUGGUGGUCAGGCAUCAUAUUGAGGUGCAACAACAGAGUAUUGAGGGUUCUGAGGUGGAUAAUAUUGCUUAGGGGAGUCAUGAAAAACCUGAAGAGGCUGAUCAUAUCUUCGAGAUGUUCUCCUGGGAUCUAUUCUCGACCCUGAUGUCAUCAUGAUUUCUUCAACCUUCUCAUUCGAGUCACCAAAAUUACCAAAAUUAUCUGAUUCAAUCUAGUCAACCUGAGUUGUGGCUUUGAGAACUAGUUGACUUAUAAUUUUGCCUGUCUUAAGACCAUUCUCAACCAUUUCCCCCAUUUCGAGAAGGAUUUACCCACAGCGGAUAUCAUGUUUUGAAAAUAAUCCAGCUCUUGAGCCUGAGGAAAGACAGUGAUUAGCUCGUGGUCAUCCAUGGGUGGCUUAGAUCUAGCUUCUUGCUCUCUCUAUUUAAUAGCGUAUUCCCUGAAACUUUCACUUUGGUUUCUUCUUCAGGUUUGAAAGGGAAUUUCAGUUUGGGGCAAUGUCCAUGUCGUAUUGAAACUGUUUGACAAAGGCCUGCACCAUGCUAUCCUAGACGUACCAGCGAGAUGUGUCCUGAUCCAGAAACUAUUCAGAUAAUACUCCCGUAAGGCUUUCCCCAAAAUAAGUUAUUAGCAAUUCUUCAUUUCUUUCCACACCUCUCAGUUGAUUGCAAUACCUUUUUAGGUGGGACUAUGGGGUCUCCAUGUCUAUCAUACUUUUCAAAUUUGGGAGUCUUGAAACCAGGCGGCAAGUGGACAUCGGGGAACAUACAUAGAUGUUUGAAGGCAACACUAUUUUGACCUGCCAACCCUUACAUGUUUUCAACCGUUGUUCUAAGAUUUUCACUCUUUGGGUCAUUUCUCUAUAUUUCAUCUUUCGGGCAGGCUUCUCGAUGUUUGCAAGAAGAUCAAACGAGUACGAGUGAUAUUCAGGAGAGUGGUACUGCUCUUGCUGUGUUGCAAAUUGUGACUCAUGACAAGGUUCUCUUUGGCCAUUGGCCCAUGAUUGACACAUUUUGGUCAUUUGCUGUUUCAGUAUUCUAUUUUCCUCAACCAUAGUAGACUCUUGUCGAACCCUCUGACCGUGAGUCUCUUGAGCAAUUGUAACAGUCUUGAUGUCAAUUAUCAUUUUUUGUUGUAUCUUGUGUUUCAGCUUACCACAAACCAACCACCUCAAACUUUCUUCACAAUUCAAAACAAAAGAUAUGUUAGAAUGGACUCAGUCAUCCUUACUAUUAUCAAUAAUUUUUUUCCUUUUCUUCAUUUUUUCAUUUUUUUGUUUGGUUGAUCGAAUCUGAUAUGGGUUUCCUACGUGUCAUAUGGGAACAUGAAUCCGAUAUUGCGUAGUUCAGGAAGAUUAGGAAUAAAGGAAAUAAACUAAAUUUAUGUUUUUCUGGAUUUGGAAUUUUCUCUUCUAUUUUUUACUUUUUUUUUCAAAAGAAAGACUUAUAAAGAAGAUAGAGCAUAUUUUUGGAUUUUGAUUUUUCUUCAGUAAUUGCAAAGAAAGACUUCUAAAGAAGAUAUAUUUUUUUUUGAAUUUCGACUUUUUAUUGUUUUUUUUUUAAUUUCGAUAGAAAAAUUUCUAAAGAAGAAGGAAAGAUAUUUUUGCCUUUAUGGAUUUUUAUUCUGAAGUUAGGAAAGAAGUUCUUCGAAAGAAAAAGAAAGUAUUUUUAAAUCAUGAAUUUUCUUUUCAAUUUUCCGAAGAAGAAUAAAAAUAUGUUUUUGCAUUUUUUGAUUUUGAGAAGCAACUAAAAGAAAAAAAAUUUGAAUUUUUUUUUAAAAACUAGAAUCUUAAAGAAAAAUUUUUCUAAAGAAGGAAGUAAAAGAAUUUUUUUGGAUUUUUAAAAAUUGGGGCCGGAACCGAUGAGGUUUGCUUACGUAUCUCACAUCCGGUAAGAAUAAGAUCCGCGUAGUUCUGCCAGUUUUAACGGAACAGGAAAACAUGACACUUGAAAAUUUUGGUUCAUUUUGAAAUGACUUUUUUUUCCAGAUUUGGCAGAGUUUCAACAUAUUUCAAAUACCUACAUCUACUCUUUUCUUUUCUUUUUUCUCUUUUUUUUAAUUUUUUUUUAUUUUCUUUCCCUAUUCUAAUCAACAUGUAAGCCUGAACAGAUAGAUACACAAGUAGCACAUAAGAUGCAUCAGGAUGGUCUUUUAAUUUGGGUACACAUGUCCUAGACGGACCUAACCCAUGUGUUGAGUCCCCAAAGUCAAAUGUACGUGAUGCAAACAAACGUUCCUACAAGGAAUCCGGCAUGAGUCUGAGUUAUUCUAAGUAUAAAACCUGGGUAUACUGCUCUAGACUUGUGCACCCGAGCGGACAACUCGAGCCGAGGAGGGGGCUAUGUACCGGGAACCAAAAGGCUAUCCGGCUUAGUAACUUUUCUGAGCCUCUUUCUUAUUUCAAGUUAUGACACUAACAGAAUAAGGAGUCUCGACCAGCAAGCACAUCCCCAAAGAUGAGAAGAGAAGGAUUUCGUAGCAUUUUAUAUAUAGUUCAGAUAACAUUAAGGCGGUAAAAGCAUCAUUUAGCACAUCAGGCUCAAACAUGUAGGAAAAUCAUAUAAUAAAUAAAGCCAAUCAUAACAGCUAUUCUAAGCUCAAAUUCUUAAACUCUGAAUCGAAGUUUAGGGUUUGGAUCCCCAGCAGAGUCACUAGAGCUGUCACACCUCCUUUUUUCUACACCCUAGAAGGGGAGAUAAAGGAGUUUAUUCCAAUUUAAAGUGACAAAAAACAGAAUUAUUUUAUUUAAAAUUCAGAGUUGCCACUUGGAUAAUUUAUGGUUUCCCUGUCACCGGUAUAAAUCCCGAAUCGAAAAAAGAUUGACUUUGUUUUAUAGUCCGCGAACAUAGAAAUUUGGGUAAAGAAUUCUGUUAAGCGGUAGAAGGUGUUAGGCAUUCCCGGAUUCCGUGGUUCUAGCACGGUCCCUCAACUGUUAUAUUUGGCUUAAUUACCUUGAUUUUAAUACAUUUUAAACCUAUGUAAAAUUUUUAACUUUAUAACCGCUUUUAUUUAUUUUAAGGAAGAUUGCAACGUCAUUUAAAAUACGUUUUGAACCACGUCACAUAAAUGCACCCGCGGUCCCCGACAUAUUUUAUCUAACGUUGUUGAGAUUUGGAUUUGGAUCACAUAAAUGUGCACCCGAGUUUAGGAAGGUGAAUUGUUUAACUAAUGCGCCUAAAGCAAUUACGCGUUUUUUUUAAUUUUGUGAAGGCCAUGGAAGAUUCAACUAAAUGGCACAUCUCGAUUUCUAAAGGAUUAAAAUUAAUUAAACGAGGGCCAUGGGUUUUGAUAUUUUGUUUGGCAUGGUGCUCCUUAAAUUAUUUCAAAGGAUUUGAUUCUUCGAAAUUAUUAUGAUCGGGUUACAUAAAAUGCACCCCCGAAUUGGAUUCACGUAUCGUAACCAUGCCACGGAAACUGUACCCAUGACCAUGAUAAUUGAUUGAAUUAUACUAAUGAAAUAUAAAUAAGGAGUAGUUACAUAUAAUCAGAAUCAUGUCAUUGCUAACGAUUAUUGAAAUACUAAUGACAUCUAAUAAAAAGUAGUUUACAUAUAAUCAAAUCUCAUAGUUGUCCAGACAUGUUCGAAUAGAUUCAUUUAUACUAAUGACAUCUAAAUACAAAUGAUUUACAACCAGAAAGAAAUAGGCACGAAGAGAAAUCGAGGGAUUAAUUGCUGGCCCUCACAAUUUUGGAAUUGAAAAAUACUUGAUUCACAAUGGCGGAUACAUGUUGUCACAUGGGUUCUUAGCUUUUGAAAACAAGAUUACUACUUAUAUAUAACACACAAAAAGCCAAUUUAAUCAAGAUCUUAUCAGAUUUAUAUUAAGGUUUAAAUUUACACAAAAUACAAAGAUAGCAUUGUUCUACGUAGAACACAAUGGCAGGCCCAAGUAUACUAUCACAUUUAUAGCUUAUGAAUAAACCUCAACUUCAACAACAAUUGUAUUAAACAAUUAGUUUUUCCCUUCUCUUAGCUUCAAAGAUCAACAGCAUAGAGACGUUUGAAAAAACUUAAACAAAAAAAUGCUAGAUCUAUAAAAAAACAAUACAACAACUUACAUCUCAUUCAUGAUUUCUAUUUAAGACAAAGGGUAUAAGUGGACAUACCUAAACAGCAACAAAUAAAUCCUCAAUCUGAAAAGAAGAUGAUGAAACCCAGCUACAAAUGAAGCAAAAUUAGCAGGAGAAACAGCAACAGUCCUCAACUCAGCUUUUGAACGAACUAUUCUCGAAAUGACCUCAACUCGACCAAAUGCAAUCCAUUUUUGUAAAAGAAAAUCAAACAUCAAGAUGAACGAUGAAGAACAAAGAUAUCUUUGUCCCUAUAUUUCGUUUGAAACUUAAAUAAAAUUGGAGCGGCAGAUCGAAGCUUCUUUUUAUUUUCCUAAGAGAGGGAUCAGGUGGGGCUGUUGGUUGUUGAGGUUUCCUAGAGGGGAAAGGUUCUGUUCUUCUUUUGCGAUUUUUGACCGAGAAGAAGAUGGGAGCGCCCCCUUUUUUUUGUUCUUCAGAGAAGGGGAGGGUCUAUCUUAUUCUCCUUUUUUUUUCUCUAGGCCUAAAUCUAGGUUUUAAUAUAAAG
Molecule: long non-coding RNA, 13860 nt
Filed under: Nicotiana benthamiana
Lineage: Eukaryota; Viridiplantae; Streptophyta; Magnoliopsida; Solanales; Solanaceae
Description: long non-coding RNA (NBEN_LNC022166)
Source: RNAcentral